This 66-nucleotide microRNA precursor is filed under the name Marmota monax (woodchuck). It matches the Rfam family "mir-1255 microRNA precursor family". Lineage: Eukaryota; Metazoa; Chordata; Mammalia; Rodentia; Sciuridae. The record is from RNAcentral.
GCUUAUGGAUGAGCAAAGAAAGUGGUUUCUUGACAUGGAAUCUACUACUAGUGAAGAUUCUGUGAA